UGCGUGUAAAAUCAAAAGACUUGGGAGGCAAACUUGGGUGGGAAGCACUAUGGAAGUCGAAACAAUUCCCAACUUAUCUGGAUCCCAGAGGAGUCCCUCUGAUUGCUUAAGUCACUAGAAAAGGAGAUUCGUCUCAGCGAUUAACAAUGAUACCCUUUUUAAGAGAGAUCAAAGAAGGCGCCUAGGGAAGCUCUACAACGCGGCUUCUUGGAGUUCUGAGGCCGCCUGCGCAUUCACUUUCCAGUGUAAGACCCCGCUCCGGAAUCCCGGCUCCAGCCCAGCCCGCGCCCCCUUCCCUGGAAAGACCUGGCCGGCCGCGCCCCCGAACCCCCGAGGCGUGGGUGUCAAGCUAAGCGGGGCUCGUCCGACCGGUCGCUUCCAGCUCUCUCCACCUGUUGGAAAGCCCAGGCCCAAGAACCGCGCCAGCGGCGGCAGCACGUCAUCGGCGGCCACGGGGAGUCAGGGAGCGCGGGACGCGGGUUUCUGUUGAUAAGUGCAAAGUACGGCCCUCUCGGUGCUAAGUGCACAGUAAGUGCGAAAAAUAAAUACAUCAUCUCCCGGGGCGGCUGUCUCGAAAACGCCUCUCAGCUGCCUGCGUUUCAGAGCCCGUCAAGGGUUAUAGCUUAGUGCGGGCGUCCGCGCCGCGCCGCGCCUGCGCCUCCGAGCGCCGGCCGAGAAGGGCGCGCAGCCACGGCCACCACAUGCCACUGGCCCCGCAAGGCGCCCGACUCCUCUAAGGGGAACUCGUAAUGCUCACCAAAAGCCUCAGAAACCCUGGAACCUAUAAGACCGCACCACCGCGCAAACGGUGUCCCGGGCUGCGCUCCCGCACUGCACCGGCAGCCUAUGACGCGAGGCCAACCCGGAGACUGCGCGCGACGGGCGUGCGUGCGUGCGCCCGCAGAUUCGCUUCAGGCGAACCAUAUAUUCAAGACCAAAGAUCAUAUCUCAUAAUGAGGAGCAGCAUGAUAAGAUGGAAGCAGCUGAAUGAAUAAAACUGAGAUGAAAUAAUUUGUCCAAAGUUGUACAUUUGAGCUCUCUGUGUGACCACCCAUCUUCCAAACUCACCCUACCGCAGUCAGCCAGCAGCUCUGGGUCGUUAGCCUGUCAGAACGCUGAGAGCAGAAUGAUGGACAGCAAGAGGCAGCAGGCAGGAUGGAGAACACUCCAGCAUACACGAUGUUGGGGUACAGCACACAGGGAUAAGAGACACAGCAGGGAAGUGGUGGAUGAUGCCUGUGGAAUCCAGGUCCAGAAGUCUGUCAUCUUCAACACACUGCUUCUGAUCAUUUUAAAUUUAGAGUGCAAAUUAUUAAUUGCAGAAUCAAGACCACUGGAAUCAAGACAAACUGACUUUGUGUCAAUAAUUUAAUGCCAUUGUAUUUUGGAAGGGUUCAGAAAAAGAGUACAUCUGCUUCACAACUACUUGAUCUCCAUUUUCUUUUUUAUGCAUAUCCUGACUGCUAUAUAACUUAAGCCUAGGUUUUUUCUCUCAUCCAUUUGGUGGAAUAUUUUUUCCUAAAUGAAGAGUAAUCUAUAUUUUCUAUUUUGAUUUAAAUCUAUAAUUGGAGUGCUUAUCAACAUUGGCUAAUGAAAUCAACCUAUCAACACUAUAAUAUUACAGCAUGAAGUUUCUGGCUAAAAUAUUUUCCUUAUGGUUCUGCUUUUCUAGGAUCCAUAUUAUAUUCUUCCCUUGGUCUUUCUUUGGGAGUCAUUUCUUAAAAACACCCCCUCCUUUUUUUUCUGAAGAGUCACAUGAGAGCAGUGGAAUCAAGAGUUAGGUCUUUCUUUUCUCACUGAAGAACAAUAAGCAUACAGAAACUGAAAUUAUACAACAAAAUUUUACCCAUUUCUGCUAAAUUAAAGAGAUUUUUAAAAACAAUUUUAAAUGUCAAUACACAGAAAAAGAAUAAUUCCCAUUAAUGGGGUUUCCUCUUUCUUAACAUGUAUAUUUAUGGAAUUAAUUCUUAUAUUUCCUGUUUAUUUACUGAUUCUUAUGAAUCCUAAAUAUUAAAGCAGGUUAUUGUUCUUUAUUUUGUUUAAUAGCACAUUAAGGGAAUUUGAAUUUCAGUUAAAUUAUUUAUUUCCAGAGAUUCAUAAUCUAACCCAAGAGCAAUACUUUAAGGUGGCAUCCUAUGAAAGAGUUUAUCAUUUGUUGACUUAUUGCUUCUUAUAAGAGGAUUUAUCAUUUGUUAUUUACUCCUUAGUAAAUAUUUCUAGAUCAUAUUGUGUGUAUGUAUAACUUCUCCACCUUUGCCUCUGUGAGGAAGCAAAACAUGUCCUUUUUUUCUUUCUAUGCUCAAUGUGUUAAGAUGUCUUCAUUUAAUUCAUGCUCAACAAAAUGCUCGCAAACUAAUGGAAAGCUGAAGAUCUGUAUUUUAUUCAUCACAUAAUUAUUUUUCUUCAAGAAAAUUAAUCCUAAUUCUUGAGUCACAAAAACCAUGUAUGUUGAAAAAAAUGUUGAUUAUUGCUUCAUGUAAGUGACAUUUUCUGAUUUUCCAACUGAUUUUUAAGAUGGACAAACCAAUGCAACAGAGCAUGGAAGAGUGAGAGAAGCUUCUGGAUGAGAAUCAAUAUAAAGGAGAUAGAUGGUAAACUUUGAGUGGAUUUCAGCCUAAAGAUGUCAGUCUUAUUUUGCUAACAUACUUCAAAGAAUAUGUACAAGAUUGAUUUUGAAAUACAAAGUUUUAAAGCUAGAUAUAAAACUUGUAUAAUUUGGUUUAGAAAAUAAAAUAGUUUCCUGUUGGUGGAUGGGCCCCCUGAGAGCCAAUUAGUGAAUUCUUCAUCUAAAUUACACCUUAGGUCUGGAAAGUAUUAACCUCCAAAGGGUGUACAAUUUAUCCCCAGGAUGGGUGUAAGUAGUCUGCUAUUGGAUGAGUGUCCUUAAAGAACCUGGAAUAACUGUUACCUUUCUAGGAGUCACUGGAAAGAACAGUAGUUACCUGUUACCAAUAUAGAAAGCUUUUAUGACUAGUACUCCAGAAAUUUCAGUUCCUUCCUCUUGAUUCCCUUCUGUGUCUCUGUGACUCUGUAGCUGUUCUACCAGAUACUAAGUACCAAGGUUUGAACUAGACUCAGUGUAGCCAAUUGAGAGGUAGAUCUCCUAGAGUAUGAUGGUUUGGACUUCGAAGUCUGACAGAUUUAGGUUUGAUUGCUGUCUCUGCUUUCUUAUGCCAAUGAGAGGCAGAUCUCCUAGAGUGUGAUGGUUUCAGCUUUGAAGGCUGGUGGAUUUGGGUUUGAUUGUGUCUCUGCUUUCUUAUCUAUGUGAAACUGGAAUAUUACUUAGAUUCCCUGAAGUUCAAUUUCCUUAAACAUAUAAUGGGGGUUAUAUAUCAGCCUCAGAGUUAUUGUAAGGUUUAAAUGAAAAUGUAUUUGACAAGCCCUUGGCAUAAGUUUACAUGCGUGAUAGGAUCACAGGAUAUUUGCUUUGAUUUAUUUGCUUGGUAACAUUGUUAGGUUUGUACUAAUCCAUAUGUCCUGAGUUCUGUCCUCUUACAGAAAUGAAAGAGAAUGUCCAAGGCCAGGGAGUAGAGGGAGAGGGGAAAGCAGACUUGAAUCCAUGCACAGUCUUGGUUUUAUUAGGACCACCUCACCCUAAAAAUAGAGCUCCCCAGUGAUUGGUAGAAAAGCUAUAAGAUUCAAUAUCUUGUGGUAGAGUUGGAAAUUGGAAGCCUAAUGAAGGAAUAUAUUAUACUUCAGAUGCCAGCAAUGAGAGAAACUCUAAUGAGCAAUGUCCUAAAGUGUAAGGAUGAUAGUUAAUAAUUAUUGAGUCUUUACAAUAGACAAAACACUAUGUUGGAUGUGGGGUCUUUUACCAGUGUUAAAAGAAAAACUUUAAACAAAUUGAAUUUAACAGGGUUUAAUUGAGCAAAGAACAAUUAGCAAAUUGUUACUCGCCUAUUUGUUGCAAGUGUAGGUUACAGUCUGUUUACACAUCCAGUUAGGUUACAGUUUAUACAUCCCGUUAGGUUAAGGUAGGGAGAAACCUUUAGGCUGAACUUAAAAUAUGUGAGGAGGCAGCUUUAGGCUGUAUUAAAUUUAGCAUCAGAAACCAUCGCAUUUGAACAUAAUAACAAUGGAGGAUCCAGACACUACUCUUAUGUCAUUGUAUAGAUGAGGAAAGUAAAGAUCAGUUGUUUGAGGAAUUUAUCCAAGGUCUUUCCAGGUGUAUAUGGCUCCCUUCUACUGUAUUGCUUCCAAACAGAAUUGUAAGAAAAUUACAAGAACUGAAAGGACAGACUAUAUCCUCAGGACCUAUUAAAAAUCAUAGCUGUCUUUUGGUUUGGUUUUGCUCUGUUUUGUUUUUAUGGAAAGGACUCUUUAUACCAGUAACUCACCUAUUUUAUAAUCUUGUCAAAUUAUCUCUGAAUAAAAUUUCUGAAAAUGC
This is a long non-coding RNA of Gorilla gorilla gorilla (western lowland gorilla), 4387 nucleotides long. RefSeq lists it as uncharacterized. The record is from RefSeq and is a predicted model, not a curated record. The transcript has 3 exons. NCBI's taxonomy places the organism in Eukaryota, Metazoa, Chordata, Mammalia, Primates, Hominidae.